AUGCCUCCUCAGAGCCUGCUCUGUGUGCUGGUGGCCUUGGCUUUCUCUGGAUGCAAUGUGGCCCAGAGAGUGACUCAGGUCCAGCCAACAGGCAGCAGUCAGUGGGGAGAAGAAGUCACCCUGGACUGUUCAUAUGAGACAAGUGAAUACUUCUACCGUAUUUUUUGGUACAGGCAGCUUUUUAGUGGAGAGAUGGUUUUCCUUAUUUACCAACCUUCUUUUGACACUCAGAACCAGAGGAGCGGCCGCUACUCUGUAGUCUUCCAGAAAUCAUUCAAGUCCAUCAGCCUUGUCAUUUCAGCCUCACAGCCAGAGGAUUCAGGGACGUACUUCUGCGCUCUCUCGGAACUGA
Molecule: non-coding RNA, 352 nt
Organism: Mus musculus (house mouse)
Lineage: Eukaryota; Metazoa; Chordata; Mammalia; Rodentia; Muridae
Source: the annotation of a RefSeq genome assembly